This 72-nucleotide transfer RNA is filed under the name Marmota marmota marmota (Alpine marmot). It matches the Rfam family "tRNA". From Rfam's summary of the family: Transfer RNA (tRNA) molecules are approximately 80 nucleotides in length. Their secondary structure includes four short double-helical elements and three loops (D, anti-codon, and T loops). RNAcentral also lists the same sequence under 1 other name. Lineage: Eukaryota; Metazoa; Chordata; Mammalia; Rodentia; Sciuridae. The record is from Rfam by way of RNAcentral.
CUGAGUGUAGUUCAGUGGUAGAGUGUGUGCUUGGCAUGCACAAGACCCUGGGUUUAAUCCCCAGCACAAAAU